UUGACAUCCAGCGAACUUUCCAGAGAUGGAUUGGGUGCCUUCGGGAACGCUGAGACAGGUGCUGCAUGGCUGUCGUCAGCUCGUGUUGUGAAAUGUUGGGUUAAGUCCCGNGACGAGCGCAACCCUUAUCCUUUGUUGCCAGCGAUUCGGUCGGGAACUCAAAGGAGACUGCCGGUGAUAAACCGGAGGAAGGUGGGGAUGACGUCAAGUCAUCAUGGCCCUUACGAGUAGGGCUACACACGUGCUACAAUGGCGCAUACAAAGAGAAGCGACCUCGCGAGAGCAAGCGGACCUCAUAAAGUGCGUCGUAGUCCGGAUCGGAGUCUGCAACUCGACUCCGUGAAGUCGGAAUCGCUAGUAAUCGUGGAUCAGAAUGCCACGGUGAAUACGUUCCCGGGCCUUGUACACACCGCCCGUCACACCAUGGGAGUGGGUUGCAAAAGAAGUAGGUAGCUUAACCUUCGGGAGGGCGCUUACCACUUUGUGAUUCAUGACUGGGGUGAAGUCGUAACAAGGUAAGCGUAGCGAG
Molecule: ribosomal RNA, 529 nt
Filed under: uncultured bacterium
Lineage: Bacteria
Description: bacterial SSU rRNA
Rfam family: Bacterial small subunit ribosomal RNA
Source: RNAcentral